This 439-nucleotide ribosomal RNA is filed under the name uncultured bacterium. RNAcentral's name for it is "partial 16S ribosomal RNA". It matches the Rfam family "Bacterial small subunit ribosomal RNA", at positions 338 to 795 of the family's 1533-position model. The record is from RNAcentral.
CCUACGGGUGGCAGCAGUGGGGAAUAUUGCACAAUGGGCGAAAGCCUGAUGCAGCAAAGUCGCGUGAGCGAUGAAGGCCUUCGGGUUGUUAAGCUCCGUUCUCAAGGAAGAUAAUGACGGUACUUGAGGAGGACGCCCCGGCUAACUACGUGCCAGCAGCCGCGGUAAUACGUAGGGGGCUAGCGUUAUCCGGAAUUACUGGGCGUAAAGGGUGCGUAGGUGGUUUCUUAAGUCAGAGGUGAAAGGCUACGGCUCAACCGUAGUAAGCCUUUGAAACUGGGGAACUUGAGUGCGGGAGAGGAAAGGGGAAUGCGUGGUGUAGCGGUGAAAUGCGUAGAUAUUAGGAAGAACACCAGUUGCGAAGGCGGCUCUCUGGACUGUAACUGACACUGAGGCACGAAAGCGUGGGGAGCAAACAGGAUUAGAUACCCUUGUAGUC